Molecule: ribosomal RNA, 297 nt
Filed under: Pseudomonas aeruginosa
Lineage: Bacteria; Pseudomonadati; Pseudomonadota; Gammaproteobacteria; Pseudomonadales; Pseudomonadaceae
Description: partial 16S ribosomal RNA
Rfam family: Bacterial small subunit ribosomal RNA
Source: RNAcentral
AGACUGCCGGUGACAAACCGGAGGAAGGUGGGGAUGACGUCAAGUCAUCAUGGCCCUUACGGCCAGGGCUACACACGUGCUACAAUGGUCGGUACAAAGGGUUGCCAAGCCGCGAGGUGGAGCUAAUCCCAUAAAACCGAUCGUAGUCCGGAUCGCAGUCUGCAACUCGACUGCGUGAAGUCGGAAUCGCUAGUAAUCGUGAAUCAGAAUGUCACGGUGAAUACGUUCCCGGGCCUUGUACACACCGCCCGUCACACCAUGGGAGUGGGUUGCUCCAGAAGUAGCUAGUCUAACCGC